GAUGAAGAACGUAGCGAAAUGCGAUACGUAAUGUGAAUUGCAGAAUUCAGUGAAUCAUCGAGUCUUUGAACGCACAUUGCGCCCCCUGGUUUUCCGGGGGGCAUGCCUGUCCGAGCGUCAUUGCUGCCCUCAAGCACGGCUUGUGUGUUGGGCCUCCGUCCUCCUCCCGGGGGACGGGCCCGAAAGGCAGCGGCGGCACCGCGUCCGGUCCUCGAGCGUAUGGGGCUUCGUCACCCGCUCUUGUAGGCCCGGCCGGCGCUUGCCGACACAUCAAUCUUUUUUCCAGGUUGACCUCGGAUCAGGUAGGGAUACCCGCUGAACUUAAGAAUAUCAAUAAGCGGAGGA
Molecule: unclassified non-coding RNA, 345 nt
Filed under: soil metagenome
Description: partial contains 5.8S ribosomal RNA, internal transcribed spacer 2, and large subunit ribosomal RNA
Rfam family: 5.8S ribosomal RNA (bases 1-120)
Source: RNAcentral